AUUGAACGCUGGCGGCAUGCCUUACACAUGCAAGUCGAACGGUAACAGGUCUUCGGACGCUGACGAGUGGCGAACGGGUGAGUAAUACAUCGGAACGUGCCCAGUCGUGGGGGAUAACUACUCGAAAGAGUAGCUAAUACCGCAUACGAUCUGAGGAUGAAAGCGGGGGACCUUCGGGCCUCGCGCGAUUGGAGCGGCCGAUGGCAGAUUAGGUAGUUGGUGGGAUAAAAGCUUACCAAGCCGACGAUCUGUAGCUGGUCUGAGAGGACGACCAGCCACACUGGGACUGAGACACGGCCCAGACUCCUACGGGAGGCAGCAGUGGGGAAUUUUGGACAAUGGGCGAAAGCCUGAUCCAGCAAUGCCGCGUGCAGGAUGAAGGCCUUCGGGUUGUAAACUGCUUUUGUACGGAACGAAAAAGUCUCCUCUAAUACAGGAGGCCCAUGACGGUACCGUAAGAAUAAGCACCGGCUAACUACGUGCCAGCCGCCGCGGUAA
RNAcentral lists this ribosomal RNA (498 nucleotides) under uncultured bacterium. Its description in RNAcentral is "partial 16S ribosomal RNA". It matches the Rfam family "Bacterial small subunit ribosomal RNA", at positions 30 to 523 of the family's 1533-position model. The record is from RNAcentral.